Small nuclear RNA from Lynx canadensis (Canada lynx), 175 nucleotides. Its record names the gene U2. It matches the Rfam family "U2 spliceosomal RNA". Rfam says of the family: U2 is a small nuclear RNA (snRNA) component of the spliceosome (involved in pre-mRNA splicing). Complementary binding between U2 snRNA (in an area lying towards the 5' end but 3' to hairpin I) and the branchpoint sequence (BPS) of the intron results the bulging out of an unpaired adenosine, on the BPS, which initiates a nucleophilic attack at the intronic 5' splice site, thus starting the first of two transesterification reactions that mediate splicing. Lineage: Eukaryota; Metazoa; Chordata; Mammalia; Carnivora; Felidae. The record is from Ensembl.
AUCGCUUCUCGGCCUUUUGGCUAAGAUCAAGUGUAGUAUUUGUUCUCAUCGGUAGAAGAAAACACAGCGGAAAGCUUCCUGACGUUGGAUUUGAUGGCGACUGAUUUCUUGGAUAUGACCCAAAAGCACAGGGGACAAAAGGAAAAACAGAUAAAUUGGACGACAUAAAACUUCU